This 253-nucleotide ribosomal RNA is filed under the name uncultured bacterium. Its description in RNAcentral is "partial 16S ribosomal RNA". It matches the Rfam family "Bacterial small subunit ribosomal RNA", at positions 524 to 776 of the family's 1533-position model. The record is from RNAcentral.
UACGUAGGUGGCAAGCGUUGUCCGGAUUUACUGGGUGUAAAGGGCGUGCAGCCGGAGAGGCAAGUCAGAUGUGAAAUCCGCGGGCUCAACCCGCGAACUGCAUUUGAAACUGCUUCCCUUGAGUAUCGGAGAGGUAACCGGAAUUCCUAGUGUAGCGGUGAAAUGCGUAGAUAUUAGGAAGAACACCAGUGGCGAAGGCGGGUUACUGGACGACAACUGACGGUGAGGCGCGAAAGCGUGGGGAGCAAAAAGG